This 253-nucleotide ribosomal RNA is filed under the name uncultured bacterium. RNAcentral's name for it is "partial 16S ribosomal RNA". It matches the Rfam family "Bacterial small subunit ribosomal RNA", at positions 524 to 776 of the family's 1533-position model. The record is from RNAcentral.
UACGUAGGGGGCAAGCGUUGUCCGGAAUCAUUGGGCGUAAAGCGCGCGUAGGCGGCCCUGUAAGUCCGCUGUAAAAGUCAAAGGCUCAACCUUUGAAAGCCGGUGGAUACUGCAGGGCUAGAGUCCGGAAGAGGCGAGUGGAAUUCCUGGUGUAGCGGUGAAAUGCGCAGAUAUCAGGAAGAACACCCGUGGCGAAGGCGGCUCUCUGGGACGUGACUGACGCUGAGACGCGAAAGCGUGGGGAGCGAACAGG